AGGAAGAGGAAAGUUGGGAUUGGAGAAGGACAAAAGAAAAAGAAGAAAAUGACAUUCUUGAUUGGGGAGAAGUUGAUGAAAACACAUAUGUCUCUAGUGAUGAAGAAAGUAAAGGUGAAAAUUCACAAGAAGGAGAAUCUGAUCACAGUCACAUCUCCAGCGAUGCUACAACACCUACACUUCCUGAAAGAAGAGUCACUCGAGCCCCAUCAUAUCUUCAAGACUAUACAAGCGGAGAAUGACUCGAAGAAGAAGAAGAAGAGGUACAAAAUUUAGCUUUGUUUGUAGCCUCUGGUGAUCCUAUUUAUUAUGAAGAAGCAGUGAAAAUAAA
Molecule: long non-coding RNA, 331 nt
Filed under: Lathyrus oleraceus (garden pea)
Lineage: Eukaryota; Viridiplantae; Streptophyta; Magnoliopsida; Fabales; Fabaceae
Description: Pisum sativum (pea) long non-coding RNA (PSAT_LNC023670)
Source: RNAcentral